UUUAAAAAUUCCUGCAUGUGUGAGUCGCUGAAGCACUCCCUGCGGUUCCCCCUUUUUUUGAAAACAAAGGAACGGUGGGAUUUGCAAUUUGGGUUUUUUUUGUACGGCGCCUCAAUGAGUUUGUAUCACUGUGGUACACGUUCGGUGGAGGAACCAGACUGAAUGUUGGAAGUGAUACCCGUCCCAUCCUGACAGUGUUGCCCCUCCAGUGAGGAGCUACAGCAGGGGACUGCAACAAUCACAUGUCUGGCCAACAAGGGCUUCCCCUCAGACUGGAGUCUGUCCUGGAAGGUGGAUGGCAGUGGCAGCAUCAGCUGGGAGGAGAGCAGGAGCCCCGUGGUGCUGCAGAAUGACGGCCUCUACAGCUGGAGCAGCACCCUGAGGCUCCCUGCAGACCGCUGGAUGAAGGUGGGCUCUGUGACCUGUGAGGCCACCCAGGGCUGCCAGACUCUGGUCUCAGAGCCACUGAGGAGAGUCCAGUGUUCCCAGUCCUGACCUGACUCAACCUGAUACUGGUUUAAUGCUCUCAUUCUCAACUCUGUAACUGUCUCUCCAUCUUUCUUUUUAAAGAACAAAUAAAGACUAAAACUGUUAUUUUCUUUCUCAUAAUGACAACAUUCAUGUUUUAGGUAAUAAAGAUGUUUUGCAAAGU
Oreochromis aureus is the source of this 652-nucleotide long non-coding RNA. RefSeq lists it as uncharacterized. NCBI's taxonomy places the organism in Eukaryota, Metazoa, Chordata, Actinopteri, Cichliformes, Cichlidae. The record is from RefSeq and is a predicted model, not a curated record. The transcript is spliced from 2 exons.